This 497-nucleotide ribosomal RNA is filed under the name uncultured bacterium. Its description in RNAcentral is "partial 16S ribosomal RNA". It matches the Rfam family "Bacterial small subunit ribosomal RNA", at positions 28 to 507 of the family's 1533-position model. The record is from RNAcentral.
GAUGAACGCUGGCGGCGUGCCUAAUACAUGCAAGUCGAGCGAACGGACGAGAAGCUUGCUUCUCUGAUGUUAGCGGCGGACGGGUGAGUAACACGUGGAUAACCUACCUAUAAGACUGGGAUAACUUCGGGAAACCGGAGCUAAUACCGGAUAAUAUUUUGAACCGCAUGGUUCAAAAGUGAAAGACGGUCUUGCUGUCACUUAUAGAUGGAUCCGCGCUGCAUUAGCUAGUUGGUAAGGUAACGGCUUACCAAGGCAACGAUGCAUAGCCGACCUGAGAGGGUGAUCGGCGACACUGGAGCUGGGACAGGGUCCAGACUCCUACGGGAGGCAGCAGUAGGGAAUCUUCCGCAAUGGUCGAAAGCAUGACGGAGCAACGCCGCGUGAGUGAUGAAGGUCUUCGGAUCGUAAAACUCUGUUAUUAGGGAAGAACAUAUGUGUAAGUAACUGUACACAUCUUGACGGUACCUAAUCAGAAAGCCACGGCUAACUACGUG